CAGUAGCCGCGGUAAUACGUAGGUGGCAAGCGUUGUCCGGAAUUAUUGGGCGUAAAGGGCUCGCAGGCGGUUUCUUAAGUCUGAUGUGAAAGCCCCCGGCUCAACCGGGGAGGGUCAUUGGAAACUGGGAAACUUGAGUGCAGAAGAGGAGAGUGGAAUCCCACGUGUAGCGGUGAAAUGCGUAGAGAUGUGGAGGAACACCAGUGGUGAAGGCGACUCUCUGGUCUGUAACUGACGCUGAGGAGCGAAAGCGUAGGGAGCGAACAGGAUUAGAUACCCGAGUAGUCCCUGUCUCUUAUAA
This 301-nucleotide ribosomal RNA is filed under the name uncultured bacterium. RNAcentral describes it as "partial 16S ribosomal RNA". It matches the Rfam family "Bacterial small subunit ribosomal RNA", at positions 509 to 809 of the family's 1533-position model. The record is from RNAcentral.